UAGGACCAGUGUGAUUUGUGGGACAAGGCUAGCAGUGCUCUUCUUCAGCUGAAGUAAAUCUCGGCAAGUCUGAACCAGCUGCUAACUAGCAUCAGUGCUCCAGGUUCUGCAGUACAAUGAUUUCAAAGUAAUUUUGAAAACUUAUGGCUGGCUGGAGCAGGAUCAGCUCUUUGGAGAACUGGAAUCAACUGCUGAGCAUUGGAAAAUACAUGGAAUUGACUUCUAUUUGUAUCACCUGCAAGCCUGAAAGAAAAGGGAAUUGGGAAUUAUGCCUGCUGGGAAAAUGCAAGCAAAACAAAACAAAAUGAUGAAAGGAACCAGAGCAUCUGAUAAUAAAAUUAUCCUUUUCAACA
This 353-nucleotide long non-coding RNA is filed under the name Pogona vitticeps (central bearded dragon). RNAcentral describes it as "lncRNA (ENSPVIG00000002340.1)". The record is from RNAcentral. Lineage: Eukaryota; Metazoa; Chordata; Lepidosauria; Squamata; Agamidae.